UUGGCUUAGAAGCAGCCACCCUUUAAAGAAAGCGUAAUAGCUCACUGAUCGAGUCGUCCUGCGCGGAAGAUGUAACGGGGCUAAGCCAUAUACCGAAGCUGCGGAUGCGAGCUAGUCUCGCAUGGUAGGAGAGCGUUCCGUAAGCCUGCGAAGGUGCGUUGAAAAGCGUGCUGGAGGUAUCGGAAGUGCGAAUGCUGACAUGAGUAGCGAUAAAGGGGGUGAAAGGCCCCCUCGCCGUAAGCCCAAGGUUUCCUACGCAACGUUCAUCGGCGUAGGGUGAGUCGGCCCCUAAGGCGAGGCAGAAAUGCGUAGCUGAUGGGAAGCAGGUCAAUAUUCCUGCACCAUUGUUAGAUGCGAUGGGGGGACGGAUCGCGGAAGGUUGUCCGGGUGUUGGAAGUCCCGGUCGCUGCAUUGGAGAAGGCGCUUAGGCAAAUCCGGGCGCAGGAUUCAAGGGUGUGGCGCGAGCUCCUUCGGGAGCGAAGCAAUUGGAAGUGGUUCCAAGAAAAGCCUCUAAGCUUCAGUCUAACGAUGACCGUACCGCAAACCGACACAGGUGGGCGAGAUGAGUAUUCUAAGGCGCUUGAGAGAACUCGGGAGAAGGAACUCGGCAAAUUGGUACCGUAACUUCGGGAUAAGGUACGCCCUGGUAGCUUGACUGGCCUGCGCCAGAAGGGUGAAGGGGUUGCAAUAAACUGGUGGCUGCGACUGUUUAAUAAAAACACAGCACUCUGCAAACACGAAAGUGGACGUAUAGGGUGUGACGCCUGCCCGGUGCCGGAAGAUUAAAUGAUGGGGUGCAAGCUCUUGAUUGAAGUCCCGGUAAACGGCGGCCGUAACUAUAACGGUCCUAAGGUAGCGAAAUUCCUUGUCGGGUAAGUUCCGACCUGCACGAAUGGCGUAACGAUGGCCACACUGUCUCCUCCCGAGACUCAGCGAAGUUGAAGUGUUUGUGAUGAUGCAAUCUACCCGCGGCUAGACGGAAAGACCCCAUGAACCUUUACUGUAGCUUUGCAUUGGACUUUGAACCGAUCUGUGUAGGAUAGGUGGGAGGCUAUGAAACCGGAACGCUAGUUUCGGUGGAGCCGUCCUUGAAAUACCACCCUGGUUUGUUUGAGGUUCUAACCUUGGCCCGUGAUCCGGGUCGGGGACAGUGCAUGGUAGGCAGUUUGACUGGGGCGGUCUCCUCCCAAAGCGUAACGGAGGAGUACGAAGGUACGCUAGGUACGGUCGGAAAUCGUGCUGAUAGUGCAAUGGCAUAAGCGUGCUUAACUGCGAGACCGACAAGUCGAGCAGGUGCGAAAGCAGGUCAUAGUGAUCCGGUGGUUCUGUAUGGAAGGGCCAUCGCUCAACGGAUAAAAGGUACUCUGGGGAUAACAGGCUGAUACCGCCCAAGAGUUCAUAUCGACGGCGGUGUUUGGCACCUCGAUGUCGGCUCAUCUCAUCCUGGGGCUGUAGCCGGUCCCAAGGGUAUGGCUGUUCGCCAUUUAAAGAGGUACGUGAGCUGGGUUUAAAACGUCGUGAGACAGUUUGGUCCCUAUCUGCCGUGGGCGUUGGAAGUUUGAAGGGGGCUGCUCCUAGUACGAGAGGACCGGAGUGGACGAACCUCUGGUGUACCGGUUGUGACGCCAGUCGCAUCGCCGGGUAGCUAUGUUCGGAAGAGAUAACCGCUGAAAGCAUCUAAGCGGGAAACUCGCCUUAAGAUGAGACUUCCCCGGGGACUUGAUCCCCUUGAAGGGUCGUUCGAGACCAGGACGUUGAUAGGUCGGGUGUGUAAGCGCAGUAAUGCGUUCAGCUAACCGAUACUAAUUGCCCGUACGGCUUGAUCCUAUAACA
This 1833-nucleotide ribosomal RNA is filed under the name Burkholderia pseudomallei. RNAcentral's name for it is "bacterial LSU rRNA". It matches the Rfam family "Bacterial large subunit ribosomal RNA", at positions 1101 to 2925 of the family's 2925-position model. Lineage: Bacteria; Pseudomonadati; Pseudomonadota; Betaproteobacteria; Burkholderiales; Burkholderiaceae. The record is from RNAcentral.